UCUGGUGAUUAUGGCCUGAAGGUAACAUUCGUUCCCAUACUGAACAAGUCGGUUAAGCUUCAAUGCAAACAUGGUACUUCAGGGGUGACCUUUUGGAAGAGUAGGUUGUCGUUAGGU
Molecule: ribosomal RNA, 117 nt
Filed under: Clostridium estertheticum
Lineage: Bacteria; Bacillati; Bacillota; Clostridia; Eubacteriales; Clostridiaceae
Source: RNAcentral